Molecule: long non-coding RNA, 1524 nt
Filed under: Equus asinus (donkey)
Lineage: Eukaryota; Metazoa; Chordata; Mammalia; Perissodactyla; Equidae
Description: lncRNA (ENSEASG00005024304.1)
Source: RNAcentral
UGGGAACACAGGCUGACCCCUGGGUCUGAGGAGAGGGUGGAGGGAGGCCUUUGGCCUCGACCUUGAAGAGCGUCUCCCUUCACCUUGGAUCCAGUCAAUUAAGUCACCACGAUGACAAGAACUGCUGCUAUAAAUGGGCCUGGGCACAGCGUAGCUGACUCUGGGUGAGCACAGAGCUCAGCUGGUGGGAACAGAGCGCGUGGUGCAGCCUCCUGGUGUAGGGCAUCCACCAGCGUAUUUCACAGGAAGUUGAAAAGCAUGGUAAGUAUAGUGGGCUAAGAGGAAGUCAGUUAAAAAAAGCUUCUUAUCCACUUGGAAAUAUUUGAAUUAACCGACUGAAUUUUUCAUGUUACAUCAAGUUCUUUGAGUGAAGGUACCUGGCCAAGAAGGGUGCGAAGUCUGGUGAAAAGUCAACAUGGUGCCACAGACAGCGGUUCAUCCCACAUACAGCACGGCCAGGCUGGAGGCAGCAGCCAGGGAAAGGGAGCAGGAGACGGGGUGAGGAGGAUGAGUGCUUCAGUCAAGUGGUGUUGGCUGCAGCCCUUUCCUCUCCAGAAACUAAAUUUGUUCAACUGGCUCCCACAGCAAACUUAUGCUGAGAGUGGGGGCCAGUGAGUAAAAUUCAAGCCUUUUGCACUCAGUUGCAGCCCCUUCAAAACUCAUCUCCUCUCCCUGAGUGAGGCUGGGAGUGGCUGAGUAUUUGUUUCCCGCCGGCAGGUGGCUUGGCAGCCACAUCCUUGUAGAACAUGAUGUGCUCCUUGCAGGAGCAAGAGAGAGGAUGAUUAUGAAUCAUGGAACAUCAGAGUGCCAAGGGUCCUCAGUGUCCUCUACUCCAACCAUCCCAGUUUACAGAUGAAGAGAUUGAGGUCCAGAUAGAGGGUGCGGCUUGCCACCGACUUGACCAUCAUGCUGACCAUGUUCAGCAAACAUAGAUAUGCUAAUUUCAUAUUCCAAACUUCUGCCCCAAAUUCUCUGAAGCUCAGAGGGACAUUGCAUCACUGGAUGAUAACAAGAGGAGAAAAGUGACCAGUGGAAGUGCUGACAAGGUGACUACAGAAUACAAGGCUCAUUGCUGAGUUAGAAAGGAUCUUGAGUGACCAUGUAGUCUAAAGCUUUCAUUUUCCAGUUGAGGACACAAAGCUCUGUGCAGGCAGUGACAGAAUUAUCUGAAGCAUGAGCUAGGAGAAAAAAAUAAAAUUUGAAAUCUUGGAAAUUCAUCAAUUGAAAUAUGUAAUACCUGGGCUGCUAAGAGCCCCAAGUUGGCUGCAUUAAUUUUAUCUCAUGCAUCUCCAUCUCCAGUGCCUGGCACAGCACACGGUAGGUUCUUGAUAAAUGUCCUUUAACUGAAUUAUGAAGCUUAUCAUUCAAGUUAACAUAGCAUAAGGCACAAUGUAUAUUCCAUAAGGAGGUUAAAAGGUAGUCAAGACCACAGCUGGUUGAAGGGGUAGGAAAGGCUUCCUGGAGGAGACGGUGUUGAGGUAGGCCUUAAAAAAUGGGCGGGAUUUUGAGGGGUGGGUUUUGUGG